CCUUCCCUUCCCUUCCCUUCCCUUCCCUUCCCUUCCCUUCCCUUCCCCUCCCCUAUUAGAUGUCCCCACCAUGUAAUUCCCAUUCCUCACUUUGCUCUCACACUCAGACCUUCUCCCCUCUUCUCUUCCAGCCACCGUGCAUCUCGUGCCCUGCCAGAUGGUCUCCAAGGAAGCCGCAGUCCCUGCCCCGACCCUCUGGGUGCUGCAGGGACAGAAGGAAUAUUUCUUCGGAGAUGUUGUCACGCUGGUGUGCACCACUCCCCGCAACAUCACUGGGAGGCUGAUGUACCAAAUUUUUGGCGACGGUGGCUGGGCAAAUUCAGGAUUUAGCUCGACGAAUAACUACACGUUUGAGUUCGUCCUCUCCCGAAUGCAAAACAGGGGGCCACAUCUCUGCAGAUAUUCCAUCGGGCAAGGUCCGAAGCAGCUCACAUCCCCAACCAGUGCAGAACUGGUGAUCAAGAUUGGAGACCACCCUCCCCAGCCCCUGCUGAUGGUGGAGUCCCCGCAGGGAGAGGUGAUGGCAGGAGAACUCCUAAGCAUCAUCUGUAAGGCCCCUGGAAAUGUCACCAUACGGAGGUUUCACUUCUACAGGGAUGGCCAAGAGGUCCUCCCUGUGGCAGAAGGCUCCGAGGACAAUGCAGCAGAUCAUGGGGGCAGUUUAAGGACUUCCAUGGUCCUGCAAUUCCCACGUGCUGGUCCCCAACACAAUGGAAACUUUACCUGCAAGUAUGAGGAAAAAAAGCCUGAGAGGUGGAUCCCCUCCUUCACAAGCCAAGCCGUGUCUAUCAGUGUAAAUCCCCCAAAGAAAGGCAAGAGCUGCUUCUUUCUUCUGCGGCUCCUGGUUGUGGGUGGCUGCUUCCUCACCAUCAACAGCCUCAUCCUCCUCUUCUUCUGGGCCCGGGGGAGAAGCAAAGAUGCUUCGUUUCUGUGUGGAGCCAGCCCUGCUGGGAUCUCCCAGCUGGAUGCCAGAUCCCCAUACACCCUUCAGGAGGAUAAUAAGUACGAGGAACACUAAGGAGAGGAAGGUGCUGUGAGCGAUUCCACCCCCUAAAGACUGCUCCCUGCUGAAGACAUCCCAAAAGACUGGUGUGCAGCCAAACGAGUGCUCAGCUGUGGGAAAAGAAAGCAAGAAUCGGUUCCUGGGAGGACGAAAGAAGUAGAAAAGGGACAUUUCACUUGGUAAAGGGGAGGGAGGAGACACCGACGUUGUUGGGAAGGGUGAUUGUGAAAGAGAAAAUGAAGGAAGACCAGGAAUAAAAAUGGAAAUUGUGAGAAAAAAAAAAAAAAA
RNAcentral lists this long non-coding RNA (1291 nucleotides) under Anas platyrhynchos platyrhynchos (common mallard). RNAcentral's name for it is "lncRNA (ENSAPLG00000019869.1)". Lineage: Eukaryota; Metazoa; Chordata; Aves; Anseriformes; Anatidae. The record is from RNAcentral.